This 919-nucleotide long non-coding RNA is filed under the name Cyanistes caeruleus (blue tit). Its description in RNAcentral is "lncRNA (ENSCCEG00000011953.1)". Lineage: Eukaryota; Metazoa; Chordata; Aves; Passeriformes; Paridae. The record is from RNAcentral.
CCGAGGCAUUCAAGCAUGACAUUUGAAAUAGAGGGUGCAUUGACUUGUAUGAGCCCUGUAGUAUGUUAGUCUCCUGCAAUGUAAAGGUGUAAAGUUAAAUUUAGAAGUUGCUGGUACAACCCAUGGUUUUUCACAGCUGUGUUUUCACUCUCGCUCCUUUGUGGAAGAAUGUGAGAUUUAGAAGAUGCACUAUUUAUCUAGAGUUCUUCUGCAUUUUUGAGAGGAGAAUUUUACCAAACAUUUUUACAAAUGUCUCCCUCCUCUCGUAUGAUACCAUAGCACUGCUUAAAGCACUCUUCCACGGCACCCCAGGAUAUGUCUCAGCCCUGAAGCUAUUCCCGGUUGCAUGCUGAUAAAGAACAAAUGCUGCCUAACAGGCAGAGAGGAGGCUGAAUUCGGGCAGAACCAGCUGGUGCAAGAGGAGCCACAGAGUGGGAUAAAUCACUGUUUCUGCACAUCAGGAUCUCUGGCCAUGCACCUAAAGCAGCAGAGGACGCUCAGCAUUUCCUUGUUUCCUGGUGGCAAAAAUAUCUGCAAGUACUCACCAUCUCUGCAAAUUAUCCUGUACUUGAUGACAGAUGGUCACGAGGGUGUCUGUGGCUGAAUAUCUCUAGAGAGUCUUUGGACAAGCUGAAACUCCCAGGACCAGCUGAAUCCUCAAGGUGGCAGCCAAAGUUGGGCAGAGAGAUGGAAUUGCACAUCUGCCAGAAGCAGGAAGGAAGAGAAGAUCUGCAACCACUGCAAUGUGGACUUAGACACCUAUACACCUCCUCCAGUGGCUCUCUGUUCAGUGUCUUCUGCUGCAUCCCAAAAACCGGACUGCAGCUUCUCUACGUGUCUGGAAACAAUAGCUGUGGGACAGAUGGACAGACAGCCAGAUGCAACGGGGGGAAGUGUGGAAGUGCAGAAAGAAGUGGGG